Molecule: ribosomal RNA, 500 nt
Filed under: uncultured bacterium
Lineage: Bacteria
Description: bacterial SSU rRNA
Rfam family: Bacterial small subunit ribosomal RNA
Source: RNAcentral
UGAACGCUGGCGGCGUGCUUAACACAUGCAAGUCGAACGAGAAAGGGAUUGCUUGCAAUCCUGAGUAGAGUGGCGCACGGGUGAGUAACACGUAGAUAAUCUACCUUCAAGCCUGGGAUAACUAUUCGAAAGGAUGGCUAAUACCGGAUAAAGUUUAUUAACAUAAGUUAAUUUAUGAAAGAUUGCCUCUUCUUGAAAGCAAUUGAUUGGAGAUGAGUUUGCGGACCAUUAGUUUGUUGGUGGGGUAAAGGCCUACCAAGACUACGAUGGUUAGCUGGUCUGAGAGGAUGAUCAGCCACACUGGAACUGGUACACGGUCCAGACUCCUACGGGAGGCAGCAGUGAGGGAUUUUGCGCAAUGGUGGAAACCCUGACGCAGCAACGCCGCGUGAGUGAAGAAGGCCUUUGGGUCGUAAAGCUCUGUCGACAGGGAAGAAAUUGUAAUUAUCCAAUAGGUAGUUACAUUGACGGUACCUGUAGAGGAAGCACCGGCUAACUCC